RNAcentral lists this ribosomal RNA (433 nucleotides) under uncultured bacterium. Its description in RNAcentral is "partial 16S ribosomal RNA". It matches the Rfam family "Bacterial small subunit ribosomal RNA", at positions 29 to 507 of the family's 1533-position model. The record is from RNAcentral.
AACGAACGCUGGCGGCAUGCCUAACACAUGCAAGUCGAACGAGACCUUCGGGUCUAGUGGCGCACGGGUGCGUAACGCGUGGGAACCUGCCCUUAGGUUCGGAAUAACUCCCCGAAAGGGGUGCUAAUACCGGAUAAUGUCUUCGGACCAAAGAUUUAUCGCCUUUGGAUGGGCCCGCGUUGGAUUAGCUAGUUGGUAGGGUAAAAGCCUACCAAGGCGACGAUCCAUAGCUGGUCUGAGAGGAUGAUCAGCCACACUGGGACUGAGACACGGCCCAGACUCCUACGGGAGGCAGCAGUGGGGAAUAUUGGACAAUGGGCGAAAGCCUGAUCCAGCAAUGCCGCGUGAGUGAUGAAGGCCUUAGGGUUGUAAAGCUCUUUUACCCGGGAUGAUAAUGACAGUACCGGGAGAAUAAGCACCGGCUAGCUCCGUG